RNAcentral lists this ribosomal RNA (209 nucleotides) under uncultured Leptolyngbya sp. RNAcentral's name for it is "partial 16S ribosomal RNA". It matches the Rfam family "Bacterial small subunit ribosomal RNA", at positions 478 to 686 of the family's 1533-position model. Lineage: Bacteria; Bacillati; Cyanobacteriota; Cyanophyceae; Leptolyngbyales; Leptolyngbyaceae. The record is from RNAcentral.
ACCUGAGGCUAAGCCUCGGCUAACUCCGUGCCAGCAGCCGCGGUAAGACGGAGGAGGCAAGCGUUAUCCGGAAUUAUUGGGCGUAAAGCGUCCGCAGGCGGCUUUUUAAGUCUGCUGUUAAAGCCCACAGCUCAACUGUGGAUCGGCAGUGGAAACUGGAGAGCUAGAGCGUGGUAGGGGUAGAGGGAAUUCCCGGUGUAGCGGUGAAA